AGUCAAUAGAUACCCGGGUAGUCCACGCCGUAAACGAUGAGUACUAGGUGUCGGGGUUUAAAGACUUCGGUGCCGCAGUUAAACGCAUUAAAGUACUCCGCCUGGGGAGUACGCACGCAAGUGUGAAACUCAAAGGAAUUGACGGGGACCCGCACAAGCAGCGGAGCAUGUGGUUUAAUUCGAAGCAACGCGAAGAACCUUACCAGAACUUGACAUCCCUCUGACCGGUCCUUAAUCGGACCUUCUCUUCGGAGCAGAGGAGACAGGUGGUGCAUGGUUGUCGUCAGCUCGUGUCGUGAGAUGUUGGGUUAAGUCCCGCAACGAGCGCAACCCUUGUCAUUAGUUGCCAUCAUUCAGUUGGGCACUCUAAUGAGACUGCCGGGGAUAACUCGGAGGAAGGUGGGGAUGACGUCAAAUCAUCAUGCCCCUUAUGUUCUGGGCUACACACGUGCUACAAUGGUCGGUACAAAGAGAAGCAAGACGGUGACGUGGAGCCAAUCUCAAAAGCCGAUCCCAGUUCGGAUUGUAGG
RNAcentral lists this ribosomal RNA (530 nucleotides) under uncultured bacterium. Its description in RNAcentral is "bacterial SSU rRNA". It matches the Rfam family "Bacterial small subunit ribosomal RNA", at positions 775 to 1304 of the family's 1533-position model. The record is from RNAcentral.